CCAAUAGCGUAUAUUAAAGUUGUUGCAGUUAAAAAGCUCGUAGUUGAAUUUCGGGGUCAGUAGGUUGGUCGUGCCACCGGUACGUACUGGUCUCACUGAUUCCUCCUUCCUGAUGAGCUGUAAUGCCAUUAAUUUGGUGUUGCUGGGAAGCUGGACUGUUACUUUGAAAAAAUUAGAGUGUUUAAAGCAGGCUAACGCUUGAAUACAUUAGCAUGGAAUAAUGAAAUAGGACGUUCGAUUCUAUUUUGUUGGUUUCUAGGAUUGACGUAAUGAUUAAUAGGGAUAGUUGGGGGCAUUAGUAUUCAAUUGUCAGAGGUGAAAUUCUUGGAUUUAUUGAAGACUAACUACUGCGAAAGCAUUUGCCAAGGAUGUUUUCAUUAAUCAAGAACGAAAGUUAGGGGAUCGAAGACGAUCAGAUACCGUCGUAGUCUUAACCAUAAACUAUGCCGACUAGGAAUCGGAUGAUGUUAAUUUUUUAAUGACUCAUUCGGCGCCUUACG
RNAcentral lists this ribosomal RNA (500 nucleotides) under uncultured Glomeromycotina. RNAcentral's name for it is "partial small subunit ribosomal RNA". It matches the Rfam family "Eukaryotic small subunit ribosomal RNA", at positions 591 to 1092 of the family's 1831-position model. The record is from RNAcentral. Lineage: Eukaryota; Fungi; Glomeromycota.